UGGACAUGGCCUUUAAAUGCUAUAAGCCCUGGUGGUAAUGUUCCAAGCCUCCAAAGUGUGAAGUUUGACUUCAGAUUCUACAUACAAAUGAGUAAUGGAAGCUCAUCAGUUACUUUCAAAUGUAAAAAAUAUAGACUAUACCGCAGAUAGUUUCUAUAAUCAACUAGAAUUGAAAUUAAUACUGAUAAAAAAUGAGACCAAUGAUGUUCACUUCUAAUACUUGUAUAUGUUCACUUGUUUAAUACUUGUAAAUGUUCACUUGUUUACAAUGAAAAUGACAAAAAAAAGUUUAUCAAUUCUUACCUCCUUGACCCAAUGAUGGUAUUUAUCUUUGAUAGUUGUCUUCCUCCAUGCAUUCAGGUCAAAAAUGUUCAUACCAUAUGCCCAAGCACACUCUGAAGGGUCAAAAUUACUUGCGAUGAGGGGAUGAGAAAAGUUAAAAUAAUUCCUGAACCUCUUAGACAUCACCCAACUGUCUCCACCUCUGCAAGUCUCAAC
RNAcentral lists this long non-coding RNA (498 nucleotides) under Setaria italica (foxtail millet). Its description in RNAcentral is "long non-coding RNA (SITA_LNC002572)". Lineage: Eukaryota; Viridiplantae; Streptophyta; Magnoliopsida; Poales; Poaceae. The record is from RNAcentral.